Molecule: ribosomal RNA, 557 nt
Filed under: uncultured bacterium
Lineage: Bacteria
Description: partial 16S ribosomal RNA
Rfam family: Bacterial small subunit ribosomal RNA
Source: RNAcentral
UAGGGAAUCUUCCACAAUGGACGAAAGUCUGAUGGAGCAACGCCGCGUGAGUGAUGAAGGGUUUCGGCUCGUAAAACUCUGUUGUUGGAGAAGAACGGGUGUCAGAGUAACUGUUGACAUCGUGACGGUAUCCAACCAGAAAGCCACGGCUAACUACGUGCCAGCAGCCGCGGUAAUACGUAGGUGGCAAGCGUUGUCCGGAUUUAUUGGGCGUAAAGCGAGCGCAGGCGGUUUUUUAGGUCUGAUGUGAAAGCCUUCGGCUUAACCGGAGAAGUGCAUCGGAAACCGGGAGACUUGAGUGCAGAAGAGGACAGUGGAACUCCAUGUGUAGCGGUGAAAUGCGUAGAUAUAUGGAAGAACACCAGUGGCGAAGGCGGCUGUCUGGUCUGCAACUGACGCUGAGGCUCGAAAGCAUGGGUAGCGAACAGGAUUAGAUACCCUGGUAGUCCAUGCCGUAAACGAUGAGUGCUAAGUGUUGGAGGGUUUCCGCCCUUCAGUGCUGCAGUUAACGCAUUAAGCACUCCGCCUGGGGAGUACGACCGCAAGGUUGAAACUCU